CUUCCUGACCAGAGAUGUAAGAUGACUGCAUGAGCAGCUCCUUAUAAGAGAAGGCUUGACUUCCCAGUAGAAAACAAGGAACUCUGUGGGCAUGCUCCAAGGGAAAGUGGUGAGAGCCACAAUCAGCAUUUUUGAUCUUUGCAAAUUUGCCUAAGUGGACAUUGAAAGAAGAAACCUUUGUUCCAGCAACAAGUGUUAAGUUCCCUGGGGACCGCACAGCUCUGUCUGUUUCAAGACCCAACCCAGCUAUCCAGAAGCUUCACCCUGGGACUGUACCUUAGCACCCAACUCAGGACCACUUUAUCUCACCUCGAAAGACAAAUCUUAGGACUUAAUACUUAGUCCCAUCUACCCCAAGAUCGACCUGAGCUUACAGCAGUGAAUUUCAGGCUCCAGGACACACCAAGAACGCACACUGUAAUAUUUUUGGGCUGCCUGCAGAACUGAGCAGAGGUUUCUGUGGGCUUGAGAUUGGAAGUCUUAGGUCCAAGAGUUGGUUCCAGUUCUCCUCAGUUUGUAGGUAGCUGAUUCCUCUUGGUGUUCUGUGCUUUCUCCCUGCACCCUUUAAGUGUCCGUGGCUCUAGGGUUCCCUUCAUAGGACCCCAAAGACAUUACAACAGAGCCGACCUUUCAGGCUUCCUUGAAUCAAUCACCUUGAAGGCACUGUCUUUAAGUGUCACCUGCUGAGUGUCAGGGACUUCAUCCUUCACCAUAUGAAUUGGGGUAUCUUGUCCAAGCUAAGGCACUCAAGAGAGAAUCGUAGGGUCAGGGCAAACCUGACAGAAAUUUCUCACAGAGCCCCAUUCUAACUGGACCAGACUUUGUAAAUGUGUCCCAUGUCUUUUUGGCACUGCUAUCCAGCAUUGUUCUCAUGAUAUGACUUUGUCAUUUACGGGGAGAAACUGCACAACAGGCAUCCCAUGAAAAAGGAAGAACAAGACAGGCAACUUGUAGAUGGAAUCCUAUUAUAAAUGGCAGAGACCCUAAGGAAUCUGCUAAAGUUUAGCAUUGAACAGUGAGUUAUACCAGACCAAUGAAUAUGAGUUCUGUCAGCAGAAAUAAAGCAUUUCUAUAUCUUAGCAGUAAACAAAACAAUAGUUGGGAAAAUUUCUAUGUCAUACACCAUCUUUAAUAAAAAUCAAAAAUAUUUUCAAAUUACUUUGAGCAAGCACAUACUAAACUUUUAACUAUAGCUUCUAUUAUUGUUUGAAAUCUAGGAAGUAAGUAAAUUUCAUCAAAACAUUACAGAGAUUUUCAUACUCAGAAUACAUUUAGAAAUUAACAGUGUAUAACUCGUAGGUUUUCAUUACUCAGUAUAUAACUCAGAGGUUUUCAAACUCAUAUUGUGGAUUCUCUUUACCAAUCAGAGUUUAGAAGUGCAGAUAAUGCUGUCUCCAGGUGGUCACCCAUACUCUGUGAGAAGAUUUAGAGAGUUAAUUCCCUAACAGGAGGGUCCGCAUCCCAAUCUGGAGAUAGAAUUCCCUUCAAGAGGGUCUAAAUCACCUGCACGUAUGAGCCCCCUCAAAGGAAGGACUGAAUCUCCUGCAGGUGAGAAUGACAAGAAUGAGAGGGUCCAUAGGAGGAGGGACUUAAUUUCUUCUCUGAUGAGACUGGAGCACCAGCAAGAAUUUGACUCUGUAGUCUGAGAGAUUAUUUUCAGUAUGAUGUUCUGAGUUCCCUGAAUCCACAGCUGGAACACUGAGCCACCAUCAGGAACACUGCACCUGGACCAGUUGUCUUAAGGGCAUUAAAUACGAAUUUCACUUCUUUGGCUUAUAAAACCCCACCAUGCUCUAGCUUCCUUCCAACAUCCACCCUUCAUUCCCCACCAUCUCAGCUUCUCAAUGAAUCCUUCCGCUCCUUGAUUUUCCAAGCCUACCUAUGUCUUAUGAUCACCUACACACACACACACACACACACACACACACACACACACACACACACACACACACACACACCUGGCUUCGAAGGGAUCAGAUUAUGUUUUUUAAGGCUGAACUGUUUCUAUGGUUUUCUCUGUAAACCCUGCUUCCCAGCUACUUUCUCUGGCAAUUAACUGACCAAAGGUUAAAGAGUCCAGAGUGUAAAGCUUGCACCCCUGGUAGUCCUCAGGUCUGGUGCUGAUGGGCUCAGAGCCAUGGGGUGUGUGAGUAGCCGGCCAGGCCUUGCUGAGGCUGACUUGUCUUGUCUCUGCAGUAUGUGCCCACAAAACCGGAAGAGGGUAAGAUAUUCUAGAUGUUGAGUUGCAGAUGGCUGUGAGCUGACUUAGAGUUGUUGGAAAACAAGCGAAGGUCCUCUGCAAAGGCAACUAGUGCUCUCAAACCCUGAGCGAUCUCUCUAGUUCUUGCUCUGAAGGUUUUCUGAUGUCCUGUUGAUUACUGUCUGCUCCACCAGCCUGUUCCACAGGAAUCAGUCUUAUGAUUGUGUAGCAUCACAACACCAAAAAUAGUUUAAUCUCUUACUGGAUGCCCUUAAUGAUUUUUACAAAUGAUAAAAAUUGACUAUAUUUGUUUUUGAAUAUUGACAGUGCCUCUGGAACUAAACUCAAUCAGCUAGUUCCUUUCACUUCUAUCCAUCUCACAAACUCACUCAGUAUAUUAUUUUCUGUCCUCAGUGUACCAUGUAUUGCUGUAAGCACCAGCAUUGUUAAGGCAAGCAAAAAGAGAUUUAUAAAACCUUCAGAAUUUGAAAUUUACAUUCACUCAUAGCUUGUACUACACAUCAUUAAUUCCACCUUUCAGGAGAGAGAAGGUCUCUUUACUGUCCAAACCUCCCUUGUCUACAGGGUGAGUUUUAGGACAGCUUCAGUUUGUGGUGACACUCUGUCUCAAAUUAACCGAACAACAACAACCCAACCACACUCACACACAAACACGUGCAUGGAACACACACACACACACACACACACACACACACACACUGAGAGAGAGAGAGAGAGAGAGAGAGAGAGAGAGAGAGAGAGAGAGAGAGAGAGAGAGAGGGAGAGCACUGUCCAGUUGCUACCCUUCUCAUUCCUAAAGUGACCUUUCAGUGUAAUUGUAUUUUAACCUCAACUUCCUCAGUCCUUCCAGUGUGGAGGCUUCUGUUAAACCUGCAACAAUUGGCAACUGACAGCAGACCAGUUUCUGCUUGCUGGUGGGGAAAUUUGGUGGUGUUGUUUUGUUAUUCUGUACUCCCUUAGCCGACCUCCCUAAGCCCUGAGAAGAUUCCAUUCGCUUCCUUCAGACGACUUUAGUGUUUUUAAGUCAUACUCCACAAAGUAAGAAACCAUUUGUUCUGACUGCAGCAUUUAGGAUCAUGUUGAAUAGGUACCAGCAGAAUGUACGCUGUUUAAGAAGUAGAUCUGUGGGUUAGGAUUAGCUGUAAUUUUAUCUGCUGAGUGAGUGAGUGUUUGCUUCAUGUCCUUGCCCCUUUUGCCUUCUGUGGUACUUUUAUUCCUAUAGACUAAAGGGUUUUAGUUUGUGUUGGCUCCUUCUGCGAUUUCAGUGUCCAAUACCUCUAGACCUAUACUGUAAGUGUGACCAGAUUAACAGGGCUGUUGAUUUUCCAUGGAGAUGCUUGUUUACAUUUUUACUUAAUCCACAUCUUAUGUGCAAGAGGAGGGAGAGCAGCUUGCUGGCUCUGCAUCAGCACACAGUGACCCAGAGUGAAGGUUCUCUCUGUUACUCAUUCGAAUUCCUGAAUCACCAUGACAUUUUGCAUGAGCUAUCCUCCACUGUCUCGGGCAUUUGAGUACUCCUUUCCCAGUUGGUGACUCUGUUUGGGAAGAUCCAGGAGGUAUGCCCUUGCUGGAGAAAGAAUGUCAGCGGGGCUGGGCUUUGAGGUUUUAGUGCUCUGCACCACUCCCUGUGCACUCUCUGCUUUGUACUUGUGAUUCUAGAUGUCAUACCUCAGCCUCCUCCUCCUUCCGCCAUGCCCUGUAGUCAUGGAACUUAACCUCUGCUAACACAUGUUCUCUGAAAUAGAAUCACUAAUGUCCUACUUGUUUUAUAGUUUGCUGUGCUCAUGGCAUUUCUGUCACAGAAAUACAAAGGUAACAAAUGCAGAAGGUGACAUAAUGGAGUGGACUCUUGCUGUGUGGCACCUCAUGAUGCCAGGUUGUUUCUUGUUUUGGGAAAUAUGUAAGAAUUCCAGUGCUCUAAGAAGAGUUUAAUGGGCUAUACUGGCAGGCACUUGGGAGUCAGGAGUGCCAAGAGGUAUUCAGACUGUGGAAGCCCAGGAGAAGGGGAUUCAGGAGGAAAAAAUGUUUGUAACUGGUCUAGGAUAAUUCCUACAAAGCUUUUACAAAAAUGUGGCUUCCUUUCUGCCCACAUCCUAAAAACUUAUCUGAGGCUAAAUUUAAAAGUAAUAAACAAAUUUCUUUGAUGAAAAUUUGAAGAGGGCCCAGUAUGGCCUCGGUCUUACUGUGGUUAUAAGUCUUCAAUGAAAAAGAACAAAUGGGGCAAAAAGAAAUACAAAAUGUAGAGUUGGGAAAGAAAAAGACACUGGGAAGAUUAAUAUUAUAGCCAAUGCCUAUACCAGAAGAGAGCCUGAAAUUGCUUGGAGAUUAGCACCUUAAUAAGAGGCCAUGUCUCCUCAGGUGAAGACAUCACUCAACUAACUUAGUAAUCUGUGGUAGAAAGUGACUUACUUAGAGUUUUCCUGCUAUUAACAGACACCAUGACCAAAGCAACUCUUAUAAGAAGAACAUUUAUUUGGGUUUGCCUUCAAGUUCAGCAGUUUGGUUCAUUAUCAUCAAGGUAGGGGCAUGGUAGCAUCUAGGCAGACAUGUUGCAGGAGGAGCUGGGAGUUCUACAUCAUCAUCUGAAGGUUGCUACUAGAAAACUGAUUUUCAUGCAGCUAGGACAAGGAACAUAAGGGUCACAUCUACAGUGACACACUUCUUCCAUCAAGGCUACACCUAUCCAAUGAGGGCACAUCUUUAAAUAGCCCCACUCCCUGGGCUGAGCAUAUUUAAAUCACCACAUGAACAUUAGGUAUUUUCAGUUCCUGGUAUAACUUUUGAUCAGAAGCUGCUGCUACUGUGGUUCAUGGGGCCCAGGUCUUUGUAGAAAUCAAGCAUCUUCUCAUGUACUCUCAUCAGUCACUGGAAGUAAGGAAGCUCAAGAAAGGACUGCUGUGUGGACUGAGACAGCUGAGCAAGUCUGCUUUGGGAAGGACCUCCUCUGUCACAGGACAUCCACUGUUUAAGCACCACCACUACCUCAGGAAGUCCACUGUCUGUGUGUCAACUCCACUGUUACAGGACUUCAAGUUUCUCAGCAUCUCAACUAUCACAGGAUUUCUACUGUGCAGGAGCUCAAGUGUCUUACAACGUCCAAUGUCAUAGGACCAUCAAUGUCACAAGAACUCCUCUGUCCAAGGAACUGCACAGUCCAAACAACACUAUGAUUGCAGGACAUUCACUGUGGAAACACCUCCACUAUGGCAGGGCCUCCACUGUCCAUACAUCAACUCCACUGUCGCAGAUCCCCCAUUGCUGCAGACCUCCACUGUCACAGGACCUCCACUGUAGGAGCACUACAACUGUCGCAGGAUCUCCAGUGUCUUAUAACCUGCUCUAUCCCAGGACUUCCACUGUUGUAGCAUUACCAUGGUCACAGCAACUACACUGUUUCAGGACAUCAAGUGAAGCUGGACCUCCAAUGAUGCUCCAACUUCUCUGUCACAGGAUCUCUACAGUUACAGGAAUACUCCUGUAUCAGCAAUUCCAAUUGCUGGACCUCAGUUGUCACAUGACCUCCACUGUAGCCGAACCUUCAAUUUUGCAGCACCUCCACUAGAGGUAGAAUGACCUCCCCUAUCACAGUGCCUCCACUUUCAAAGGACCUUCACUGUCACAGAACCUGCACAAUUUCAGUGCCUCCGCUGUUGCAGGACCUACCUUUUCACAGGAUCUGCACUGUUGCAACAACUCUAAUUGCACGUUUACAAAGGCAUUACUGGUUAUUAGAUUUGAGGCUGAAUGGAAUGUGAUGUUACUUUCGUAAACAUAAGAAUGUGUUCUGUGCGUCUUGUGAUUAAUGGCCACUUGUGCUAGGACCAGUAACUUAUGGAAAGAUUCCUUGAGGUCAUAGCACUCUCCACCUCACCUUGUGGAAACUGGUGUUUUUAGAGUGUGAUAAACUUCAGGUGAAGGGAUGCAGUCAGCAAGACCACGCUCUAGAGUGGGAUACACAGCAGUCAUAUUGAGUCCUUGCUGGGAAGAAAAGAAAUCCAGAAGAGGGAGGAGGCUUGGGUUAGAGGAAGAAUCAUAAAAUAUUUAGAGAAUAUAAGAAGGUAAGAAUUAUGGGGAACUGGAAAACAGAGCCAGAGGAAGAAUGAGCACAGAGCAAACUGGGAUGGACAAAGCACAAAUGUACCUGGGUUGUGCCUUCUGCAUGUUUUCUGGACGAUCGCCUUGUGCCUCAUUUCUGGGAGAACACUCUCUUCUCCCCAUAUAAAGUUUCUUUCUUGAAAGAAAGCAGCAACACAACUUCAUCAGUGAAUUUCCCCAUUGAAAUUUGUUCGUUCUUUCAAAGCCUCUGGGAAGGCCCUAGCUGGGGAAAGUCCUCUCAGCUGAGAAACAGCAGGAAAGUAGGUUGUCCUCUGUGUUCUCAUUGCGACUGCUCUUCUAAGUGUGGUUGAUUGUUGAUUGAAGACACAGGGCACUUCUAGCAUGUAUGUAUGCUUUAUUCAGUGUGGGUGGCAUUGGGAGUAUCCUGAAAAGAAGGGUAGGCGCCUCUGCCUCUUUGACUAGGUGUAUGAUCAAAGUCAGACACUCGACCAUUGGAAGAUGAGACCAAUGUGUCUACGGUGUACUCACUUCUAUUCCUCUUUAGUCCUAGAGGGAAAUAAGUGCCGUCAGCAAGGGUGGGGAAUGGGGCCCUAACUGGACAAACUUGCUGAGCCUGGGUUAUGCAGCCAUGCCGGUGAAUAGCUUCCCCUUACAUUAAGUAGUAAGAUGCCAUGCUCUGGUUGUACCUUCCCUGAUACAGUGAAUCUAUAAUCUCUUGGCCUCAAAACCCAAUAUAUUACAUUGCUUUCACAAGUGGAGUAUCUGGCAUGAGAGGGAUCAUUUCCUCAUAGGGAUUUGGGAACCACUUACAGUCUUCAUUGAGCAUGGGUGUGUCAUCACCUAAGUGACUGUUAGCCCAUAUCUGUGAUUCACUGUCAUUAGGAGGCUAAGCUGCCUCUUCUGACAUCCCACAGUGGGCUGGAUACAUACCACUCACAACCUGUCUCCUCAGCUCUUGUAUGACAAAAUGUAACCCUACUCCUAAGUCCAUAUGUUGGGGGGGGGUUGUUUUUUUUUUUUUUGUUUUGUUUUGUUUUGUUUUUGGAACAUCCUAACGUUUUCCUAGGAAGAGAUCAGGUGCACCAUUAGGAUAAGCACCAUGCUGCCAGUUCAGCAUUUGCCCAAGUUUGACUUGCCUUGAAGGCCAAAGUUGAUGAUUUUGACUUUUCCAUUCUUCUCUAACAGAAUAUAAUCUGGUUUCAGGUCACUGUGUACUUUUACAGUGUCCAUAGCCGUAGAUUAAGUCUGCUAAUAUUUACCCAAAUAUUUCCUUGACCCUGUACUCCUCUAAGGGGAAAGACUUUCAAAUGUAUUUGUAAAGCUGUAAAAUUUCAACCAGUUUCAUGAUAAGUUAUUAGACUUGUCUCAGACUCAAUUGGAGAAGCAAGAUGAUGUUGGGGUUGAUGAAAAUCUUCAUUAUAUUUGCCAUGGUCAUGUUUGGCUGGCACCAUUGCUUCUUCUUUGCAUGCACUUUGAUAACCCCUGUAGCAGAACUUCCACUGUCCCAGCACCUGCACUAUCUCAAGAUCUCCACUCUCACCGGACCAAUAUUGCAGUAGGACGUCUGCGGUCAGGCAACUCCACUGUCUCAGACCCUCCAAAUUGCAAGACCUUUACGGGCACUGGAAGUUACUGUCCCUAAACUUCCACUGUUGGAAUACCUCAGCUAUAACAAGGACCCCUACCAUUGCAGAACCCCCUUGUCAUAGCACCUCUACAAUUACAAAGAAGUCCACUGUCAAAGGACCUCCAAUGUCUCAGCCCCUCCACUGUUGCAGGAUCUCUACUGUCUCAGGAUCACUACUGUUGCAGGACCUCCCCUCUCUCAGCAGCUCCAAUUUGCAGGAGCUCUCCUAUCAGAGGACAUUUACAUUUUCUGUACUUCCAGUGUCACAGCACCUCAACUGUUAAAAGAAUUUCCAUACUCACAGGCCUGCCAAUGUCUCAGUAACUCCACUGUCCUAGGACCUUUAUGUUAUAGGACCUCUGCUGACACAAGAUGUCCACUGUUGCUAGACUUCCACUGUCAUAACCACUCAACCAUUACAAGGACCGCAAUUUUGGCAUGACCGCCACUGUCCCAUCCCCUCCAGUGUUAUAGGACCUCCACUCUCACAGGAUAAUCCACUGUCUCAGCAAGGCCAAUUUGCAGGACCUCUACUAGGACAGGAUAUCCACUGUAGCUGGACGUACACUGUUGCAGUACCUCAACUGUUGCAGGACCUCCAAUGUUGCAGGACAUGGACCCUCUCAGCUUCUAGAAUUUGCAGGACCUUUACUGGCACAGAAAUUCCACUGUUGCUGGAGCUCCACUGUCAUUUAAAAUGCGUUGUCUCAUGAUAUUCACUGUUGCUGGACCAAUAGUGUAGCAGCACCUCCAUUUUUUCAAAACCCCUCCACUGAUACAGGAUCUCCACUUUUGUAGCAGCUUCACUGUCCAAGCAAACCAACUAUUUCAGGAUCUCCCGUGUCUUAGGGCAUUCACUAAUGCCAGUCCUCCAACGUUGUAGGAUAUUAUCCACUUUCUCAACAGCUACACUUUGGCAGGACCUCUAUUGGCAGAGAAAGUCCACUGUUGCUGGACCUCCACUGUCAGUGCAAAUGCACUCAUUCAGGACCUCUACUUUUCUAAGGACCUCCAAUAUUGCAGGGCCUCAAAUGUCCCAGGACCUCAAGUGAUGCAGCACCUCCUUUUUCCUAUCACCUUUACUGUCCCAGAACCUCCACUUUCCCAGGAACUGUUCUGUUGCAGGGCCUCCAAAGUUAGAAGAACUGCACUGUAUCAAGACCUCAACUGUUGCAGGACCUCCAUCAUUAUAGGAACACAAUAGUUACACUGUCCAUCACCUUCACUCUCUUAGCACCUCCACUCUCACAGGACCUACACUGUUGCAGGAACUCCAAUGUCUAUGCAACUGCACUCUCUCAGGACCUCAAUGAUCCAGAACCUCCAAUGAUGCAGGACCUCCACUGUCAUGGACCUCCACUGUUUCAGGACAUCCACUCUAUCACCACCUAGACUUUUGCAGGACCUCUACUGGCCCAGGAUCUCCAUUGUUGCUGGUCUUACAUUGUCUAAAGACCUCUACUAUCGCAGAAAUGCCACUGUUGUAGAACCUUCACUGUCGCAGGGCCUCCACUGUCCAAGAACUCCACUGUUGCAGGGCAUCCACUCUUGCAGCAUGUGCCUUGUCUCAGGACCUCCACUACAGCAGUCAAAUCUCCACUGUAUCAUGACUUCCACUCGUGCAGGUCUUCCAAUGUUACAUGACCUCCAAUGUGAAAGUAACUCCACUAUCUCAGUGCCUCCACUGUUACAGGACCUACACUGUCAGAGGAUCUGCACUACGGCACCAGCUCCACUGUCACAUUUUUGAAAGCAUUGCUUGUUGUUAGUGUUGAGGCUUCAUGGAGUGUGAUGCUACGUCUGAAAAGUUAAGAAUUUCUUCUUCAGCUCCUACGAUUAAUGUCCAGAUGUGCUAGAUCAGUAGCGCCUGGAAGACUCAAUGAGCCGAUAGCCUUCGAAGCCUCACUUUGUGGUGUUCUGUUGUCUUUUGGGAAUGCUAAAGUCCAGGUGAAGGCAUGCGGUCAGAAGGAUAACUCUAGUGUGGGGUACACAUGAGUUGUGUUGAGUUCCUGCUAGGAAGGGUAGAAAUCCAGAACUGAAAGAAGGCUUAUGGUGGAGCAAGAAUCAUACAAUGCUUAGAAUAGGUAAAACAGAAACAAUUUUGCAGAAAUGGAAACCAGAGACACAGGAGGAACCAGCACAGAUCAAACUGCGUAGGACCAAUCACAAAGGUACCUGCGCUGAGCCUGCCUGCUGCUUGUUCUUUGGAUGUACUCUAGCCUUUAUUUCUCAGGAGAGACACUGUGCUGUCCAAGGAGAGUUUUCUUGCUUGAUUGAGCACAGGAAUACUGCUUGAUUUGGAUAUUCCUAAUUUCUUGGUCCACCCUGUAAAGCAUCUGAGCAUGCUCCUGCUUAGGACAGUCUUGCCCUCUCCUGAAGCCCAGAGGGAUAAUAGGUUGUCUUCUGUGGUUUCAUUGCUGCUUUCGUUCUCCCUGAGGCUGCUUGUUGACUGAAGGCAGAAGACACCCUGGCAUGUAUGUUUUGUCCAGUGUGGUGUCACCUGGAAUGGCCUGAAGAAAAGGCCAGUCCCAGUGAUUCUUCUGAAUCUUCUAUGACUAGAGUUAUGGACAUAGGCAUAAACGAGGCCAUGGGGAAUGACAAGUUCAAUGUGCCAAUGGUGGGUUGGUUUCCACUCCUCUGAAGUCCAGGAUGGAAAGCAGCAUAAUCUUUAAGGGUAGGGAAUGGAGCCCUAACUGGACUCAGUGAGGGAGCCUGGUUGUGAAGCCAGGCGCCUGGAUAGCCUGCCCUUUCAGUAAUCCAUUGAACACCAUUGUCCGUUAAUAGUUUUUUUAUUUAAAGAAUCUUUAUUUCUUGGGUUUAGAACUGAAUAUAUUGCAUUACUUCCACAGUUGUAGGGUGUGGCCUGAGAUACCAUUUCCUCAUAGGGAUUUGGGAAACCCUCCCAUUCUUUGAAGCGAGGUUGCAUUAUGAGGUUUGUGACUGUCAGCCUAUAUCUGGGGUUUACUGUGAUUAAGAGAUAAUGAUGAUGGUUGACCAUCAUAAACGUUGACAAAGAGGAGUUCAGGGGCAACAGAAGUGUAAGCACCACAGUGGUGCUUCAGAAUUUGCCCUGGUUCAACUCGGGUACUAAGGCGAAAUUCGAUGAUUUUGUUUUUUUCCAUUAAUAACCAAGAUAAAUGCUAUUUGGUUUCAGGUCCCUGUGAAAUAUUGUGUGCCCAGGGCAGUAGUUCAUCACUGCUAAUAUUUGCAAUAUAUUUUACUGACUUGUCCUGCUUUAGGUAGCCAUACUUUUGGAUGUAUUUGUAAAACUGUUGAGCUUCAACAAGCUCCAAGACAAGAUAUAAUAUUGUUUUGGUCUCAAUUAUUUGAAGAAACCACGUGAUGUUGGGGUUGUCACCCAUCAUCAUCACUGCCAUGGUCAUUACUGGCUGGCAUUAUUAUUUCUCCAUUACAAGGACUUUGACAGCCACUGUCACAGGACCUAAUCUGUGGUAGAACCUCCACUCUCAGGGCAACUCCACUUUCUCAGGACCUCUAAAUUGCAGGACCUCCCCUGGCAUAGAAUGUACAUUUUUGCAGGACUUUCACUCUUGUAGCAACUCAACUCUUAAAAGACAUCCACUUUAGCAAGAUUUCCAGUGUCUUAGCACUGCCCUUCUUGAAGGACCUCCACUAUUGUAGGACCUCCACUGUUGCAGCACAUCCAUUCUCUCAGCAUCUAGAAUUUUGCAGAAUGUCAACUGGCAUAGAAAGUCCACAGUUGCUGGUUCUUCAAUUUCAUGAUAAAUCCACCGUAUCAGGACCUUCACUGUUGCAGGACCUCCAGUGUUGAAUCACAUACACUGUUUCAGGGCCACCACUGUCACAGGACCUUCUCUGUCACAGGAUCGCCACUCUCUCAGCACUUAUGCAAUCACAGGACCUCCAUUGCUUUGGACCUCCACUCUCGGAGAACCUCCACUGGUCAAGCACAUCCACUGUCUCAGAAACUCCAGUGUCUCGGGACAUUCACUGUUGCAGGAUCUCCCAUGUCUUAGCACACUUAUUUUUGCAGGACCUCCACUCUCGCAGACUCAUCUCUACUGUCUCAGGACCUACACUAUAACUGUUGGACCUCUAAUGUCACAGGACCUCAAAUGACACUGGAUUUCCACUGUCCAAUCACAUUAACUGUCCCAACUCCUUCACUGUCGCAGGACCUACACUGUUGCAGGACCUCCAAUAUCGGACCAAUUUCCUGUCUCAGGGACCUCCAAUGUUGCAUGACCUCCACUGUUAAAAGAUAUCCACAGUUGCAGGAUAGCUAGUAGAGUUUUGCAGGACCUAUAUUGGCCCAGGACCUCCAUUGCUGAUGAUCCUCCACUGUCUCAGUACCUUAACUAACACAGAACCUCCACUGUUGAAGCACCUCCACUGUCCUAGGAUGUCCACUAUUGCAGACAACGUCAGUCUUAAGUACCUCCAUUUUUGAAGGACCUCCAUGGGUGCAGGACCUCCACUCUUAGAGUGCCUCCAUUGUUGUAGCACCUCCACUGUUCCAACCUCAUCUCCACUGUCUCGGGACCUACAUUAUUGCAGGAUCUCCAAUGUUGCUGGACUUCUACUGUUGCAGUACCUCCAGUGUUGCAGGACCUACACCGUAGCAGGAUCUGCACUGUUGCACCAAUUCUACUUUCACAUUUUGUUGACAUUGCUGGUUAUUAGAUUUGAGUCUUAAUGGAAUGGGAUAUUACUUUUGAAAACACAGGAAUUUUUUUCUGCAUCACAUGUGAUUGAUGACCACAUAUUCUAGGACUGAUAUCCCCUGGAAGAUUCCAUGAGCCCUUAGUCCACCAGUCUUCACCUGGUCGGAGGUGUUGUGUUUUGGGAGAAGUUGAAUCCAGGUUAAGGGAUGGGAUCAGCAGGACACAGUUCUGUAGAGUGGGCUACAUAUCAGUCAUAGUGAGUCCCCUCUGGGAUGAGUAGAAAUCCAGAACUGAGAAAAUGCUAUUACAGGACCUCCAUUGUCUAAACACCUCCACUAUUGCAGAACCUCCACUGUCCAUACAUCAACCAGCUCCACUGUUCCAGAGCCUGAGAUGUUGAAGAAUCUCCACUGUCACAGGACCUCCAUUGCUGCAGGACCUCCACUGUCACAGGACCUCCAAUGACUCAGCAACUACACUUUUGUAGGACCAGCAUUGGCACAGGAUAAGCACUGUUGGUAGGCCCUCCACUAGCCUAUAACCUCCACUGUCCCAGAAUUUCCACUGUUGUAGCACUACCAGGGUCAAAGCAACUACAGUGUUUCAGGACAUCAACUGAAGCAGGACCUCUAAUGAUGCUGCAGCUUCACUGUCACAGGAUCUCUACAUUUACAGGAAUACCACUGUGUCAGCAAUUACAAUUUUGCAGGACCUCAGUUGUCACAGGACCACCGCUGUAGCCAAACCUUCAAUGGUGCAGCAUCUCCACUGUAGGUAGAAUGACCUCCCCUAUCGCAGUGCCUCCACUUUCAAAGGACCUUCACUGUCACAGAACCUGCACUAUUUCAGUGCCUCCACUGUUACAGGACCUACCUCUUCACAGGAUCUGCACUGUUGCAGCAACUCUAAUUACACUUUUUCAAAGGCAUUACCAGUUAUUAGAUUUGAGGAUGAAUGGAAUGUAAUGUUACUUUUGAAAACAUAAGAAUUUGUCCUGUAUCACUUGUGAUUAAUGGCCACAUGUGCUAGGACCAGUAACCUAUGGAAGAUUCCCUGAUCUGAUAGCUCUGUAGCCCUCAUCUUGUUGAAGCUGUUGUCCUUAGAGGGUCAUACAGUUCAGGUGAAGGGAUUGGAUCAGCAAGACAACUCUGUGGAGUGGAGUACAAUUAAGUCGUAUUGAGUCCCAGCUGGGAAAAGGAGAAAUCCACAAGAUGGAGAAGGCUUGUGGUGGAGGAAGAACCGUAAAGUACUUAGAGAGUAUAAGAAGGUAAGAAUUGUGAGGAAAUGGAAAACAGAGCCAGAGGAAGAAUGACCACAGAGCAAAGUGGGAAGGGUAAAGCACAAAGGUACCUGGGUUGUGCCUUCUGCUUGUUCUCGGGAUGCUCUCCCUGUGCCUCAUUUAUGAGAGAACACAGUUCUGCCUUAUGUAAGGUUUCUUUCUUGAUGGAAAGGAGCAACACAACUUCGGGGAUUUUCUCAUCUUCUUGGUCCAUCCUUUAAGUCCUCUGGGAAGGCCCCAGCUGGGGAAAGGCCUGCUCUCAGCUGACAAACACCUGGAGAAUAGGUUGUCCUUUAUGUUCUAAUUGGUGCUGCUCUUGUAAGUGUGUCUGCUUGCUGAGUAAAUGCAGGGGAAACCUCUGUCCUGUAUGUAUGCUUUGUCCAGUGUGGCUGUCAUCGGAAGUGUCCUGGAGAGAAGGGCAGUCCAGUGACUCUUCUGCUUCCUUUUGACUAGCCUCAUUAUUAUAGGCAGACAUUAGACCCUUGGAAGAUGAGGAGACCAAUGUGUCUAUGGUGUUCUCACUUCUACUUCUCUUUAGUCCUAAAGGGAAAUCAGUGCCAUCACCAGGGGUAGGGAAUGUUUGCCAUAACUGGACAAACUUGCUGACCUUGGGAUCUGCAGCAAUGCCCAUAGAGAGCCUGCCCUUACAGUAUGCAAUGGGAUGCCACGGUCUGGUAAUAUUUUCUUUGAUGUAUCUAUAAUAUCUUAGGCUCAAAACCCAAAAUAUCCAAUUGCUUCCACAUUAGCAGUGUCUGGCAUGAGGGGGAUCAGUUCCUCCAAGGAUUUGGGAACCAAUUCCAGUCUUCAUUGACCAGGGGUACAUCACUACUUCUAUGACUAUCAGCCCAUAUCUGGGGUUGACUGCCAUUAAGAUGCUACACAGAUCUCCAGCUCUUCGGACACCCAACAGUGGGCAGGAUACGCACCGGCCACAACAUAUCUUCUCACCUUUUUAUAACAACUGAGUCAAAUCCUACAACAGUGAAUUAUAAGCCUACUCCUUAACUCAAAUAUUGUUCUUUGGACCAUUACAACAUUUGCCUAGGCUGUAAUGACAGGCAUCAAAAUUGUGAACACCGUAGUGCCAGCUCAUCAUUUGCUCAGGUUCAACUUUGGUAGGAAAGGCCAAAGUUGAUGAUUUUGACUUUUCCGUUCUUGUGUAACAAAAUAUCACUCGAUUUCAAGUCUCCGUGAACUACACUGUGCCCAUCCCAGUAUAUCGAGUCUGCUAAUAUUUGCCUAAAUAUUUCCCUGACCUUGUCUUCCUCGAGGUGGCAAGACUUCAGAUGAAUUUGUAAAGCUAUAGAAUUUCAACUAGCUCCAUGAGAAGGUAUAGAUGUGUCUCAGACUCAAUUACUUGGUGAAGCAAUAUGAUAUUGGGGUGGAUGUAUAUCUUCAUUAUAUUGGCCAUGCUCUUGUCUGACUGUCACCCUUGCUGCUUCUUUGCAUGCACUUUGAUAACCACAGUAGCAGGACUUUCACUGUCCCAGUCACUGCACUAUCCUAAGACCUCCCUUGUCACAGGACCUCCACUGUGGUAGUACCGCAGCUGUCAGGAAACUCCACAGUCUCAUUACCUCCAAACUGCAAGAUCUCUACUGGCACAGGAAUUGUACUGCCCCUGGACUUCCACUGUCACAGCACUUCAACUGUUACAAGGACCUCUACUGUUGUAAGACCUCCUAUAUCACAGCACCUCCACGGUGACAAGGACCUGCAUUGUCAAAAGACCUCCAGUGUCUCAGUCCCUCCACUGAUUCAGGACUUUCAAAUUGCAGGAACUCUACUAGCACAGGUCAUCCACAGUUGCAGUUCCUCAACUGUUAUAAGGACCUCCAUUGUUGCAGAACCUUCAGUGUCCCUGCACCUUCACAGUCUCAGCAACUCCAACUUGCAGGACCUCUACUAGCACAGGAUGUCCACAGUAGGUAUACUUACACUGUUGCAUUACCUCAAUUGUUGCAGGACCUCCGAUGUGGUAGGACAUCCACAUUUUCAGCAGCUAGACUUUUGCAGGACCUCUACUGGCCCAAAAAAAUUCCUCUGUUCUGGACCUCCACUGACAGUGCAAAUGCACUGUCUCAGGACCUCCACUGUUGCAAGACCUCCGAUGUUGAAGGAUGUCCAUUGUUUUAGGACAUUCCCUGUCAAAGAACCUCAACUGACACACAACCUCUGCUUUUGUAGGAUUUUCACUGUCCUAGAAAACCAAGUAUUGCAGGAAUUAUCAACUUGGAGCAACUGCAUUGUAUUAGGACAUUUACUGUUGCAGGACCUGCAGUGUGGUUCCACCUCCAUUUUAGCCAGGUCUCAACUGUACCUGGCUCAUCUCUGCUGAAUCAGCUCCUCCAACACUGCAGAACAUCCAAUAUUUCAGGUCCUCAAACAUCCCAGGACCCCAAUUGAUGGAGGACUUCCAACGUUGCAGGACCACAAUAGUCACAGGUCCUCCACUGUCCCAUUACUUUUAUUUCUCCCAGCACCUCCACUGUCACAUGGCCUACAAUGUUGCCUAACCUCCAAUGCCUGAGCAACUACACUGUCUCAGGACCUCGAUUGUUCCAGAACCUCCAAUGGUGCAGGACCUCCACUGUCACCAGAUCUCCACUGUCUCAGAGCAUCCACUCUAACACCGACUAGACUUUUGUAGAACCUCUCCUGGCAAAGCAUCUCCAUUGUGGCCGGCCUUACAUUGUCUCCAAACCUCCACUAUCACAGGAAUGCCACUGUUGUAGAACCUCCACCGUCACAGACCUCCACUGUUGGAGGACCUCCCCUGUCUAAACACAUCCACUAUUGCAGGACCUCCACUGUCCAAGGAAUUCCGCUGUUCCAGGACAUCCACUCUUGCAGCACCUGCAUUGUCUCUGGACUUCCACUGUGUCAGUCCCAUCUCCAAUGUCUCAGGACCUCCACUCUUACAGGACCUCCAAUGUUCACAACCUCAAAUACAAAACUGCACUAUCCCAGUGCCUCCACAGUUGCAGGCCCCAAACUGUUUCAGGAUCUGCACUGUUUCAUUAAUUCCCCUGUCCCUUUUUUGAAAGCAUUGCUGGUUAUUAGUUUUGAGGCUUAAUGGAAUGUGAUGGUAUUUUUGAAAAAAUAACAAUUUUUCCUGCACAUCUUGUGAUUAAUUACCAGAUGUGCUAGCAUCAGUUGCCCCUAGAGGGUUGCACGAGCCCACAGCCCUGUAGACCUCACCUUGUGGCAGCUGUUUUGUUUCGGGGGUGUUACAGUCCAGAAGGCAUGCGGUCAGGAGGACAACUCUGUAGUCCGGGGUACACAUCAGUCACAUUGAGUCCUUGCUGGGAAAAGGAGAAAUCCAGAAGAGGGAGAAGGCGUGGGGAGGAGGAAGAAACAGACAGUACUUACAGAAGUUAAAUGGAAACUAUUUGCAGAAAUGGAAACCAGAGACACAGGAGGAAUCAGCACAGAGCAAACUGGGCAGGACAAGGCACAAAGGUACCUGGGCUGUGCCUGCCUGCUGCUUGUUCUUUGGAUGCUGUGUCUAUCCCUCAUUUCUCAGGACAGACACUGUCCUGUCCCAGGGGAGUUUUCUUGCAUGAUCGAACAAAAGAACACUGCUUCAUUUGGAUAUUCCUAAUUUCUUAGACCAUCUCUGAAAUCCUCUGGGCCAGGCCAUGCUGGGGACAGACUUGCCUACUCCAGAGGCACAGAGGGAUAAAAGCAAAGGGUAAUCCUCACAGUGUUGGUUCUGUAUUUGCCCUAUAUCAACUUGGUUCAUAAGGCCAAAGACCAUGACUUUGACUUUUCCUUUCUUGUCCAAGAAAAUAUCAUGUAUUGUCUUCUGUGUUCUCAUUGCUGCUUCUAUUCUACCUGAGAUUGUUUGUUGACUGAAGGCAGCAGACACUCUAGCAUGUAUGCUUUUUCUAGCGUGGGUGUCAUCUGGAAUGCCUGGAGGAGAAGGCCAGUCUCAGUGGUUCUUAAUCCUCUAUGACUAGCAUUAUGGACAUAGGCAGAAACGAGGCCAGGGGGGAUGACAAGUCCAAUGUGCCAAUGGUGGGUUGAUUUCCACUCUAAAGUCCUAGUGGGAAAGCAGCAUAAUCAUAAGGGUAGGGAAUGGAGCCAGUCUGAGACUGGUUGUGAAGCCAGGCACUUGGAUAGCCUGCCCUUCCAGUAAGCAAUUGGAGGCCAUGGUCUGGUUAUACUAUCUUUGAUAUAAAGAUUCUUUAUAUCUUAGGCUUACAACUGAAUAUAUUUUAUUACUUUCCUCCCAUUCUUUGAAGCAGGAUUGCGUUAUUACAUCUGUGAUUGUCAGCUUACAUCUGGAGUUUACUGUUAGUAAUAGAAAAUUAUGAUGGUUGACCAUAAACAUUGACAAAGAAGAGUUCAAGGGCACCAAAAUUGUGAGCACCAUAGUGCCGGUUUAGCAUUUGCCCUGUUCAAUUGGGGUACUAUGGAUAAAGUUGCUGAUUGUGGCUUUUCCAUUGAAAUCCACCAUUAUAUUAUAUGGCUUCAGGUAGCUGUGAAACAUUGUGUGCCUAUGGCAGUAGAUCAUCACUGCUGUUCUUUGCAAAAUAUUUUCCUGACCUUGUCCUGUUCUAGGUAGCCAUACUUUUGGAUGAAUUUGGAAAGCUGUUGACCUUCAACAAGCUCCAUGAUGAGACAUAAUUUUGUUUUGCUCACAAUGACUUGAAGAAGUGAGAUCAUGUUGAGGUGGUCACCCAUCAUCAUCAAUGCCAUGGUCAUUACUGGCUGGCAUCAUUGCUUCUACAUUAGCAGGACUUUGAUGUCCACUAUGCAGCAACUCCACUGUGAUAGAUACUCUGCUGUCUAGGCAACUCCACUUUCUAAGGACUCCAAAUUUGAGGACAUCUACUAGCACAGGAUGUACACAUUUGCUGGACUUUCACUGUUGCAGCAACUCAACUCUUAAGGGAUGCCCACUGUUGCAGGUUUUCCAGUGUCUCAGCCCCGCCACUCUUGAAGGACCUUCACUAUUGUAGGACCUCCACUGUUGAAGCACAUCGAUUAUCUCACCAACUAGAAUUUAUAGGAUGUCAACUGGCACAGAAAGUCCACUGUUGCAUGACCACCAUUCUCACUGAAAAUCUACUGUCUCAGGACCUCUACCUUUGUAGGACCUCCAGUGUAGAAGGAUGUCCACUGUUGCAUGUCCACCGCUGUCACAGGACCUCCUCUGUCACAGGACUUCCACUCUUCCAGGCUCAUCUCCACUGUCUCAGGACUUCUACUAUAUCUCUAGGACCUCCAAUGACGCAGGACCUCAACUGACACUGGGCCUUCACUCUCCAAUCACCUUAACUAUCAAAGAACCUCCACUGUCUCAGGACCUUCACUGUUUCAGGACCUCCAAUGUUGGAGCAACUGUACUGCCUCAGGGGCAGGACCUCCAUUGUCACAGGGCCUCCACUGUCACAGGAUAUCAACUCUUUUAGACUUUUACAGGAUUUCUGCUGGCACAUGACCUCCAUUGUUGAUGGUUCUCCACAGUUUCAUUACUUUUACAUUGAAAGGAAUACCAUUCUUGCAGAACCUCCACUGUCCCAGGACCUCCAGUAUUACGGACUUCCUCAGUCCAAGUAGCUCCAUUAUUGAAGGACAUUUCUGGUUGCAGGACAUCCACUUAUACAGUGCCUCCAUUGUUAUAGGACACCCACUGUUCCAGCCUAAUCUCCACUCUCUCAUUAUCUCCAAUAUUUUAUGAUUGCCAAUAAUGGUGGACUUCCAUUGUUACAGUAAUUCCACUAUCUCUGUGCCUACAUUGUUCCAGGACCUACACUGACUCAUGAUAGGCACAGCUGCAUCAAGUUCACUUUCAAUUUUUAUUGACAUUGCUAGCUAUUAUAUUUGACCCUUACUGGAAUGUGAUGUUACUAUGUGAUGUUACUUUUGAAAGCCCAAGAAUUUGUUUUUUUUUAGCACAUGUGACUGAUUUCCACAUGUUCUAGGAAUGUUAUCCCCUGGAAGAUCACAAGAGCUCAUAUCCCUCUAUUCCUCACCUUGUGGGAGCUGUUGCCUUUCAGAGGGUAAUGCAAUUCAGGUGAAAGGAUAGGAUCAGCAAGUGAUAACUUUGUAGAGUGGGGUAUUCAUCAGUAACAUUGAGUUCCUGAUGGGAAGAGGAGAAAUCCAGAACAGGAAUAACCCUUGGCAUAGAGGAAGAAUCAAAAAGUACUUACAGAAGGUAAGAAGGUACCAAUUUUAAGGAAAUGGAAAUGAUAGAGGAAGAACCAGCACAGAGCCAACUGAGUACGACAAAGCACCAAGGUACCUGGGCUGUACCUGGUCCUUGUUCUCUGCAUGCUAUCCUUAUUCCUUCUUUUUUGGGAGAAUCUCUGUCCUGCCUCUUGUGAAGUUUCUUUCUUGAUGUAAAGCCAUGACAAAGGUUCAUCAGGGAAGUUCCCCCAUUUCUUCCUCCAUCUCUUAAAGCCUCUGCUCCGACACCAGCUGGUGAAUAUCUUGCACUCUUCUGAAGCACAGACAGAGAAUAUGUUGUUUUUUCUGUUCUCAUUGAUGCUACUCUUCUCCCUGAAGCUGCUCAUUCAGUAAAUGUGGGAGACAGUGUCUUUUGUCCAGUGUUGGUGUCAUCUGGAGUGGCCUGAAGAGAAAGAAGGCCAGUCCCACUGGGUCUUCUGCCUACUCUAUAACAAGCAUUUUGGAUAAAAACAGAAAUUAGACCAUUGGAAGAUGACGAAACUAAUGUGCUGAUGGUGGGCUGGCUUCUGCUCUUCUUUAUUCCUAGAGGGAAAGCAGCAUCAGCAUCAAUGUUAGGGAAUGGUGCCAUAACUGUUCUCACUAGGUGACACUGUGUUGUGCAGCCAUGUCCCUUGAGAGCCUGCCCUUGCAGUAAGCAAUAGGAUGCCAUGGUCUUGAUAUACUUUUUUUGGUACCUGUAGUAUCUAGGGCUUGGAACCAAAUAUAUUGUAUUGCUUCCACAAUUGCAAGUUCUGUCCUGAGUGUGAUCAGUUGCUCAUAGGGAUUUGGGAAUGCUUUUCUGUCUCUCUUGAACUAGAUUUGCAUGAUGGCGUCCAUGACUGUCAGCCUGUAUCUGGGGAUUACUCUCAUUAAGAACUUAUGCAGGUCAUCCAGCUCUUCUCAUCUCCCACAGGGGGCAGGAUUCACACAGGCUACAACCUGACUUCUCAGCCCUUGUAUGACUAGUCAAAUGAAACCUCUGACUACCAUGAAAUAUAAGACUACUCAUGUCUUCCCUGUGUCAUUCUUUGGACUAUCAUAAAAUUUGCCUAGAUAGAGCUCCAUGGCAGCAAAAGGUAAUCAUCAUAGUGCCGGUUCUCUAUUUGCCCUAUAUCAACUUGGUUCAUAAGGCCAAAGACCAUGACUUUGACUUUUCCUUUCUUGUCCAAGAAAAUAUCAUGUGUUUUGAGGUUUCUUUGAACUAUUAUGUGACUAUGGCAGUAGUUCAUGCCUGAUAGUAUUUACCUAAAUGUUUCCCUGGUUUUGUUCUCCACCAACUGGCCAGCUGUUCAGAUGUGUCUGUAAAACUGGUGACCUUCAAGUAGCGUCAUGACAAGGUAUUGUCUUGUUUCAGACUCAAUUACUUGGAGUAGUGAAAUGAUGUUGGAAUGGUCAAAAAUCAUCAGUACAUGUGCCAUCUUCAUUACUGGCUGUCACCCUUGCUUCUUCUUUACCAGCACUUUGACAGCCACUGUAGCAGGACAUCCACUGUUCCAGUAUGGUAAUGACCCAGCACCUCCACUAUCACCGUUCUUCCACUCUUGCAGGACCUCCACUCUUGCAGGACCUCCACUCUUGCAGCACCUGCAUUUAGUCAGGACCUCCACUGUACCAGUCCCAUCUCCACUUUCCCAGGACCUCUACUCAUGCUGGUCCUCCAAUGUUGCCUGACCUCCAAUGUAAAAGUACCUGCACUAUCUCAUUGCCUCCAGUAUUGCAGGACCUACAUUGUCACAGGAUCCACACUGUUCACUAACUCCACUGUCACUGUUUUGAAGGAAUUGUUGGUUAUUACUUUUGAGGCUUAAUGGGAUGUGAUGUUACUUCUGACAACUUAAGAAUUUGUUCUUCAGCUCUUGUGAUUAAUUGCCAGAUAUGUUAGGAACAGUUGCCUCUGGAAGAUUCCAUUAGCCCAUAGUAGGCCUCUAGGCCUGACCUUGUGGGAGCUGUUGUAUUUUGGGAUGCUCUAAGUACAGAUGAAGGCAUGGGGUCAGCAGGACAAGUCUGUAGAGUGUGGUACACAUCAGUCAUAUUUAAUGCCUGCUGGGAACCUGAGAAAUAUAGAACAGCAAGAGGGCUUGGCAUAGACGAAGAAUCAUAUAGUACUUACAGAAGUUAAAAAGGAAACAAUUUUGAACAAAUGGAAAUCAGAGACACAGGAGGACCCUCAUAGAGUAAAUUGGGUAGGACUUAGCACAAAGGUACCUGGGUUGUGCCUGCAACUUGUUCUCUGGAUGCUCUAACUGUGCUUCAUUUCUCAAAAGAGACAAGGUGUUCUGCCUCAGGUGAGAUUUCUUUCUUGAUGGAGAGCAGCAACACAUUUCAUCAGGACAUUUUUUUAUUUCUUGUUCCAUCCUUAAAGCCUUUUGGAUGGCCACUACUGGGGACAGUGUUGCCCUCUCCUUAGGCACAGAGGAAUAAUAGGUUGUCUUCUGUGUUCUCAUUGCUGCUUCUUUUCACCCUAAGGCUGCUUGUUGACUGAAGGCAGAAGACACCCUGGCAUAUAUGUUUUGUCCAGUGCAGGUGUCCUCUGGAGUGGCCUGAAGAGAAGGCCAGUCUCAGUGGUUCUUCUGAAUCCUCUAUGACUAGUAUUAUGGACAUAGGCAUAAACAAGGUUAUGGGAGAUGACAAGUCCAACGUGCCAAUGGUGGGUUGGUUUCCACUUCUCUGCAGUCCAGGCCUAGUGCGGAAGUAGCAUACUCAUCAAGGGUAGGGAAUGGAGCCAUAACUGGAGUAACUGUCUGAGGCUGGUUGUGAAGCCAGGCACCUGGAUAGCCUGUCCUUACAGUAAUCAGUUGAAUGCCAUGAUCUGCUUAGACUUUCUUUGAUAUAAAGGAACAUUAUGUCUUGUGUUUUGAAUGGAACAUAUUGCAUUGCGUCCAAAAUUCCAGGGUGUGCCUUGAGAGGUAUCAUUUCCUCAUAGGGAUUUGGGAAAUGCUCCCAUUCUUCUUUGAAGCAGGGGUGCAUUAUCAUGUCUAUGAUGGACAUAUCUGGGUUUGACUGUCAUUAAGUUGCUAAGCAGGUCAUCUAGCUCUCUUGACACCCAACAGUGGUCAAGAUACACACCUGCCACAUGUCUUCUCAACUCGUGUAUGAAAAUAGAGGCAACAUUUCCAACUACCUUAAAAUGUAAGACUCUAGCAUUCAUAUGUGGUUCUUUGAACCAUCAUAAAUUUAUCCUAGGAAGAGUUCAUGGGCAUCAAAAGUGUUAGCACCAUUGUACAGGUUCAGCAUUUGCUCUGAUUGUCUUGGGUACUAAGGUCAAAGUCAAUGAUUUUGGCUUUUGGUUUCUUAUCCAACAUAUUAUUUGUUUGUCCUGUGAUUAUUCUGUGCCCCUGAGAGUAGAUCCAGGCUGUUAAUAUUUGCAUAAACUUUGCCAGGCCUUGUCCUUCACUAUGUAGCUAUACUUUGAGAUACAUUUGUAAAGAUGUUGAACCUCACCCAGCUCCAUGACAAGGUAUCCACUUGUUUUGGUCUCAAUUACUUCUGGAUGAUGUUGGGGUAGAUAAACACAAUUGUUGUCAUUGCCAUGGUCAUUACUGGAUGGCAUAAGUGCUUCUUCCUCACAAGGACUUGGAGGCCACUGUAUCAGAACAUCCACUGUCUUAGUACCUGCUUUUUCCCAACACAUCCACUGUACUGUCUGUCCAAGCCUAUGUUUUGUUGCCUUGCCCCUGAACUUCCUGCCAUUGCAGAAGGAAGUAGGAUGACAUGGUCUGGUUAAUAUAUUAUCUGGUUGAAGUGUCCUUAGUUUCUAGGGCUUAGAACCCAAUGUAUUCCAUUGCUUUUUCACAUUAGCAGGGUCUGGCCUGAGGGGGAUCAGUUGCUCAUAGGGAUUUGGGAACUGCUUCUAGUCUUAGUUGAACUAGGGUUGCAUCAUGACCACAAUGACUGUUGGCCUAUAUUUAUGGUUGACUAUCUUUAAGAGGCUAAGUAGGUCCUCCAGCUCUUCUGACACCCCACCAGAGGCAGCAUAUACCUCUAUUACAGCCUGUCUUCUCAGCUCCAAAAUUAAGAGAGAAUCAAAUGGAAACUUUCUGACUGCCAAAAAUUAUAAAAUUCCACCCAAGGUCCAUAUUUUGUUUUUUGGAACAUAAUAAAAUUUUUCAAAUAAGAGUUCAGGGACACCAAAAGUAUAAGUAUCGCAGUGCUGGUUCAGCAUUUCCCCUGGGUAGAAUGAGGUACUAGGCCAAAGUUCAUAAUCUUGACUUUUCAAUUGAUAUACAAACCAGCACUCUUUGGCUUCACGUCCCUGUGAAGUAUUGUUUGCCCGUAGAAGUGGCUCAUCACAGCUAUUAUUUGCACAAUAUUUCCCUAGCCUUGACUUGCUCUAGUUAGGCAUAUUUUGGCACACAGUAAGCAAGAUGAUCUCCUGGUUUGAUUAUGCAUUGUAAUAUCUUAGACUCAGAAUCCAUUAUGGUGCAGUUCUUCCACAAAUGCAGGGUCUAGCCUGACAGAGCUCAGUCCUUCAUAGAGAUUUGGGAAAGACUUUCAGUCUUCCUUUAACCAGGGGUACAUCAUCCCAUCUGUGACUGUCAACCUAUAUUUCAUGUUGACUAUCAUUAGGAGGCUAAGAGGUCCUCCAUCUCUUCUGACACCCCGCAGGGGUUAGGAUACAUACAUGCCACAAUGGUCUUCUCAAUUGUAGUAUGAAUACAGAGUAAGAUCUGACUUUUUUAACUACCAUGAAAUGUAAAACUCAGGUCCAUUUGUCAUUCUGUGGACUAUCAUAAAGUUGCUGAGGAAGAGUUCAGGAGCUCCAAAAGAGAAAGCACCACAGUGCCACUUCAGCAUUGCCCUGGUUCAACUAGGGUUCUAAGGCAAAAGUCUAUGAUUUUGACUUCUCCAUUUAUGUCCAAUGGUAAACUUAUCAGGUUUCUCUUCCCUGUGCACUAUACCCUGGUCAUUUCAUUAGCUCACAGUUAUGAUUAUUUGCCUAAAUAUUUCCCUGCCUUUGUCCUCCCCUAGGUGGCCCCAUUUUCAGGUGCUUUGGUAAAGCUGUUGUCCUUCAACAAGUUCUUACUUGCAGAAGUGAGAUGCUGUUCAGGUGGUCGACCAUCAUUGUCUCUGCCUUGGUCAUGAGUGUCAGGCACCAUUGCUUCUUUAGAAGCGGUUCGAUGGCUCUGGGGCUGCCACUGAGUCGAAGGCGUUGCUCCUGUGUCCCAUGGUCCUUAAGACUUUGUAUUGAGAGUGGAAUUUUCCCUCAUCAGAAAUUUUGCUGAGGGCUAGGGUGUGGGGUCUGCUCUUUACUAUGUGUAAGCAUUGUAGCUAAAGAUACUACAAAUAUUACCUAGAAAUAACUUAAAAGUAUAGAAUAAAAAUAAUGGAAACGAUGUAGGGAAACUGAAGCUAAAAUCACAGCAUGUGUUAACUAAAAAUGACCAAAAUGUCUUUGGGAUUGCAGUUUAUUCUUUUAUUUGUUUCUGUUUUACUUUUUGUUUUUGUUUGUUUCUUUGUUUUUUGGCUCUCUCAAGAGGGCAACCCUGUAGUGCAAUAGAUCACAGAUUCAGAUGAUGUCAGGUGGAAUAGUCAUUGGCCACAUAAAGGCUAACGCCUGUGUUUGGGCAAUGGAAGGAAAGACACAGCAGAACUUUUUGGGGAAUGGAGAGAAAGAAGAAUAGAGGCGGAAGAUUCGGGCAAGAAGAAGAUGGGGGAGAAAGAGGUUGAAAAUGGAGCAGGAGCCACAAGUAGGUAGAGAUUUUAUAAAUGGGCAAUAGAGUAGUGUAGUGGUACAUUUGUCUAAUCUAAGCACUCAGCUUAUAAUUAUAUAAUUGAGUUUUCUGUUCUUGCAUGGGCCUUUUGGCGUUGGAGAUUUACCCCUAUAAAUCUGGCUAGUAUAAGCCUCUUGGGUUUUCAUUACAAAAGACUAAGACAAAUCCUGUGAGAGGAGCAUUGGCCAGCCUUCUGCAGGUCAGGGAGAUGGGGUGGAUGAGAUAAGAAACGCAAGCAGCAGUCCAGGCAUUUCAGAUUAAAGUUGUUUGGUUAGAGUAGCAAACUAGGAGCAGGAACCAGGCAAGAUGGCAGCAUAGAGCUGGCCAUGUGGGUUGAGCGUUACCACUGAUACCAGAGCAUAGCAGGAAUUUGCAUUCCUGUGUUCUCAUUGCUGUUGUGUUCUCUCUGAGGAUGAUUAUUGAGUGAAUUCAGGCGACACUGCUGGCGUGGAUGUAUGUUUGUCCAGUGUGGGUGUAAUCUGGUGUGGCCUGAAGAAACAAAGGGCAGCCCCAGUGACUCUUCUGCCUACUUUUUGACCGGAUUGUGGUCAAAGGAAGUCACUAGACCAUUGGAUGAUGAUGAGGCCUGUGCAUAUAGGGCGGGGUAGCUACCACUCCUCUACAGCCCAACAGGAAUGCAUCAUCAUCAUCAAGGGGAGGGAAUAACUGGACUCAAUGUGUGAGCCUCCAUUGUUCAGCCUUGCACCUGGAGAACUUGCCUGUACAGUAAGCCACAUGAUCCCACGGUUUGAUUAUAUGUUGUGAUAUCUUAGGCUCUGUACCCAGUAUGUUCUAUUUCUUCCACAAUUGCAGGGUCUACCUGACAGAGCUCAGUCCUUUGUAGGGAUUUGGGAAAGCCUUUCAAUCUUCCUUUAACCAGGGGUACAUCAUCACAUCUGUGACUGUCAACCUAUAUUUCGUGUUGACUAUCAUUAAGAGGCCAAGAGGUCCUACAUUUAUCUCUUCUGACACCCCACAGAGGUUAGGAUACAUACUUGCCACAACCGGUCUUCAAAACUGUAGUAUGAAGACAGAGUAAAAUCUGACUUUUUUAUCUACCAUUAAAUGUAAAACUAUGGUCCAUAUGUCAUUCUGUGGACUAUCAUAAAGUUUUCUGAGGAAGAGUUCAGGAGCUCCAAAAGAGAAAGCACCACAGUGCCAGUUCAGCAUUGCCCUGGUUCCACUUGAGUUCUAAGGCAAAAGUCGAUGAUUUUGACUUUUCCAUUUAUGUCCAACAUAAUCUUAUCUGGUUUCAGUUCACUGUGUACUAUACCGUGCUCAUGGCAUUAGCUCACAGUUGCUAUUAUUUGCCUAAAUAUUUCCUGCCUUUGUCCUCCUCUAGGUGGCCCCAUUUUCAGGUGUUUUGGUAAAGCUGUUGUCCUUCAACAAGCUCUUACUUGGGGAAGUGAGAUGCUGUUCAGGUUGUCGACCAUCAUCAUUGUUUCUGCCUUGGCCAUGUGUGGCCUACACCAAUGCUUCUUUACAAGCAGUUUGAUGGCCAUGGGACUGCUAGGGAGGCGAUGAUGUGAUAUCGGGACCUUGGCAUUGCUCCUUAAGUCCUUAAGACUUUGUACUGAGUGUGGAAGUUUCCCUCUGCUGGGGCCUAGGGUGUGGGAAAUCCUCCUUGCUAUGUGUAAGCAUUGUAGCUAAAAAUACUACAAAUAAUACCUAGAAAUAACUUUAAAAGUGUAGAAUAAAAAUAAUGAAAAAGAUGUUUGGAAACCGAAGCUAUUGUCACUUCAUGUGUUAACUAAAAUGAGCAAAAUGUCUUGUGGAUUACUGUUUGAAUUUUUUCCUCUCAAGAGGGCGGCCCUGUAGUGCAAUAGAUCACAUAUUCAGAUGAUGUCAAGUGAAAUAGUAAUUAGCCAUAUAAAGGCUACAGCCUGUCAUUGGGCAAUGGAAGGAAAAGAUAGAGCAGAAUGUUUUGGCAAAGGGAGAGAAAGAAUAGAGACGGAUGAUGCGGGCAAGAAGAAGAAGAUGGGGGAGAAGAGGUGGGAAAUGGAGCAGGCCCAUGGGCUUGCAAGAGCCACAAGUAGCUAGAGAUUUCAUAAAUGGGCAAUAGAGUAGUGUAGUGGUAGAUUUGUCUAAUCUAAGCACUCAGCUUGUACUUAUAUUAUUGAGUUUUCUGUUCUUUGACUGGGACUUUUGGAGUUUGAGAUUUACCACUAUAAAUCUGGCUAGUAUUAGCUUCUGGGUUUUCCUUUCAAAAGACUAAGGCAAGUCCUGUGAAAGGAGCAUUAUCCAACCUUCUGCAGGUCAGCCAGAGGUGGUGGAUGGGAUGAGAAAUGCAAGCAGUAGUCCAGGCAUUUCAGAUUAAAUUUGUUUGUUUAGAGUAGCAAACUACCAGCAGGAACCAGGACAAGAUGGCUGCAUAGAGCUAGCCAUGUGGGUUCAGCAUAACCACUGAUACCAGAGCAUAGCAGGAAUUUGCAUGGGUUUAAUUUAAAACUUCAUGCAAUAGAUGAUGUUGCGUGUGGUAGUCAACAAUCCACUAGGGAGUUAGGAUUCUUGUCCUAGGGAUGAGAGAAUUAGAUUCCUGAAUGAGCAGAGAUGAGUCAAGUGACUCCAGCACAUGGGAAUCUUAAUCAAACACAGUGAUAGACAGACCCAAAUCAGGCUCUGAGUUCUCCUCUUGUAAAAAGAAUCAGUAUAAUAAAUGGAUCCAGGCAGAGAGGGAGACUGAAGACUGCCUGCUUUUAAUGAAGUUUGGUUUAGUUGUUGCUAAUUUGGUGUAAUUUUGUUUAAAGAUAGAAGAGGACACAAUUUUGGCCAGAGUCACCUGGGGAAUUCCUCCUGAGGUUCAGAGCUAACUCAGGGCAAAUGGGCCCAGAUUAUCUGGGAGCUCGUGCUGUGCAGGGACAAACUGAGCUAACAGAAAAACUACAGCCUCCAAGGCAGACAGCAGAAUUUGGAUAAGGAUGAAAUCCUCUAGGAAAGUCUCAGUGUAUCACAGGAUUCUCCUAUUCUCUCAAAAGAGGGUUAAAUAUCCUGUCUUGGCAGAUUAGAAAAGGCCCGAAAAAACUGUUUCUACUUUGCUUGUUUGGUUUAGUUCCCUCGUAUGAGUAUUUAAUUUUCGAAAUGUAUGUGAUUUUGAAUUUUCUGUUUUUUUUACUAUUCCUCUGGGAAAGAUGUCAACCUAAAAAUCUUUCUGGUUACUGGCUAAAGCGCAUGCUAAUUUGGGAGAAAGACCUUAUGUUUCUGCUUAUAGGAAAAGUAAUUAGGCACUGGACUCCUUCCAGGGUUCUCUGGGUCAGAAAGGGCAGAGGGAACCACCCUGAAGAACUAGAAAGUUCAAGAGAACCAAGCAAGAAAGGUAAAGAUUCCUUAUGCCAUUGUUCACAAUGCAUGAACGAAGACUUAUGAUUAGUUAUUAUUAAAUUUGGCUCAUAAAAAGACUAUCUUUUCACAUGCUUAAACAAAGACCAGAAUUUCAUCUUGAGUAGUCAAGGUAUUUUAUGUUAAACUGGUUCCCAAUUGGCUUAGCAAUCAAGCCUCAGGAUACAGGGUAACAAGUGCAUAGAAGUAGCCAUAAGGACUGGGUGAAACUCUGAUGCCUGUGUUUAGCCAGACUUAGUGUGGGGUUAUUUUAAAAUUACAUGUAACAAAAAGUGCUUGAAAUAAACUAAAGUCAAAGUUAGGAAAAUAGAAUACAAAUUAUGGAAAAGAUAUCAGGGAAAAAGCUAAAGUCAAAAAUCCCAACUAAAAUUCAAACAAAUAACCCACCUUGUAUUCUGUUCAGAAAAGUCACGAAGCUCUCUAGAAGGAGACAAGACAGGAUGCAGCUGUUGGGCUAUCUCAGGCAAACUCUGCACCAGAGCACCUGUUCAAAGAGAUUAGAACAUCAUUACUGUAUCAUGGAUGUUUACUGGGAGAAUGGAAUGAUUUAACAGCUGAGUUGUGGAAUUCUAUAGAUCUAUAAAAUAACCUCUGCAGUGGAUAAUAUAAAGUUAUGAAAUAUCUUCCAGCUUCAUUAAUCAGAACUAUAAAAUUUCAAUCUAGCCCAUGGAUGCUGAUGGUAACUGUCGCUUCUGUUUCCGACCCGCAGAAAAGAGCGACUACACAGCGUUCUUCUCAAAGCGGUUUAUUCAGGAACCUUACAACAUGCAAACAGGAAUCUUCUUUUCUUCUGUCUCCCUCCCAGCCCAGCCCCCGGAGCACACUCCCUUAUAUCCUCCCUCAGCUCUGCUUCCUCAGUCCAGACUGCGUAAUCUCAGUUCAUAGGUCCACGUCACAUGGCCUGAUCCUGCAUCAUGGUGCGCCUGCACAGCUCUCACAAUGGACGUGGCUAGUUUCAGGUGUGUGAGGAAGUCAGAUGCUAGUCACGAGACUUAGCUGCAGUCCCAGGCGCCAUCUUGGGACUACCGCCACACCCGCUCCCCACAGCCUACUUGGGAUGACUGCCAACAGCUCUUACAGGCCCUCUUAACCUCAGAAAAAAAAACAAGGAGUGUUCCUAGAGGCCAGAAAGCAUGUUCUGGGAGAUGAUGGGCGUCCCACCCAGCUGCCUGAGGACCAAACUGGGAUUUUAAUACAGCUGAAGGGGAGAAAAUGGACCAUUCUCAUCAAUGAAAAAGGUUGGACAACUAGGUGCCCAUGACCAACUCCUCAUUGUGGAUGGAUUUAGUCUGGUUGGACUUUCUCAGGAAAGGGCAGCAGAACUCAUGACUAGUACCAGUCCCAUGGUUACCCUGGAAGUUGCAAAUCAAGGCAUCCUCUCUCACUGCCUGUCCACCUUUCUUACCCAGCCAUUGUCCUCCAUGGUGCAGAGAGUUAAGAGCUAGUGACUCAAGCCAGGCUGGUCAAAGAAUGUAUAUAAAAGAUCACCCUAUUAUACAAGAGCAGUUAUUAAAUAUAAGAAUUUUAGAUGCAUCCUUUGAAGCUCUUCAUCUUGGAAAGAACGAGGGAGAGAGAAUGAAUGAAUUGGCUUUGGUUUCAGUUUCAGAUCGUUAUGGCUCAGAACUUCAGGAAGAGUUUUACCAACUUGAGCUGCAUUGAGUAGUGGCCAGCAUGGAUCUCUAGUGUGACAAUGAUAUGUGGAUCCAGAGCUCCUCAGUGGACUCUAUGACAUCCAGCCAGGAGCACCUGAAAUAUUCCUCCAAGUCAGUUACCCCUGCUUCCAGUCUACCAAGAGUGGUCCUGGCCAUUGGAAAACCCCAGCAGAGGUGCUGCCCACCCCUGUGACUGUCUCCCAGCCCAUAUGAACAGACCUCCCUCCACCACCUCCUCCACCACAGGUCCACCUACACCAGUGGUUUUGAUGGCAUUUCAGUGGCUUUGCCCCUCCCACCACCUUCUGCAAACAAGGCAGGAUGCCAGUCUGCUCAGGUGGCUGCUGGCUAGCAAAAAAGAAGGAGGAGCAGCAGUGGUGGUCUGAGAUAUAGAAGGCCUGCCUGGAUAAGGAAGCAGAGAGGAAGCACGGGGAGCAGGAGUAGAAUCUGGGGCAGAUGGACUCUCAUUCCCUGAUUCCUGCUUCCUUAUCUCUUUUGGCCACACCAGCCCAACCAGGAAAACCUUCCACACUGCAGAGGCCCCAAGAAACAGUUACUCUGAAGCUGUAGUCCCCAGCAGCAGCCCCAACUAUUGAGUACAGGAACCUGCAGUAGAAAACAAUCAGUAAAGAGGAGUUGUCCUGUGGGGAUAGUCUGUCUCCAGACCCAUGGAAACAAGAUACCAGGGAGAAGCUGGAGAAGCAACAGCAAAUGCACCUUGUGGACAUGCUAAGCAAGGAGAUCCAUGAGCUGUAAACUAAGGGGGACGGUAGUGCAGAGGAGAGUGACUGCCUGUGGAAGCUUAUGCUGGAGUGGCUGUUUUGGAAGAGACUUCAGGCUAUAUUUCUUGUGUUUCUCCCAGGUUCAUUUCUUGAACCUGUUCUUGAAAACUGUUCAAGCAGCCCAACAUUUGACAUUUUCAAAGUAGAAAUUCAUAACAACUAUGUUUUUGACAUUCUGGCCUUAGAUAAUUCUACAGUGAUGUCUAUGGUUAAGUGCCAGGCAGUGAGAACCCAGGAGUGACGUUCAGAGGUACACAGGAUGACCUGCAGGUGAGGUGCUCCUGGAGCCCAGUGUCCUGAGUGCAGGUCCUCAACCUUACAGCUGCCCACUCCAGCUGUGUCUGGGAUGGAGCCAGUGCUACCAACCUAGGAAGCAGCUCAGGGACUGUGCUUAGUAUGUUCCCCAUUGGUUCAGUUCAUGACAAGGUUAAUCUGAAGUAACAGCAGGAAUUUUAGCCCGCUGGAAUUCUGUAUCUGAGAAAGUACAUGUCUUUAGGAACAUCAAGAUGCUCACGUCUAACACGUUUCAGCUUUAUAUGUCACAGAUACCAUAAUAAAGCUGUUUAUAACCUUU
Rattus norvegicus (Norway rat) is the source of this 32061-nucleotide non-coding RNA. The record is from RefSeq and is a predicted model, not a curated record. Lineage: Eukaryota; Metazoa; Chordata; Mammalia; Rodentia; Muridae.